Molecule: ribosomal RNA, 506 nt
Filed under: Austrosciara insolita
Lineage: Eukaryota; Metazoa; Arthropoda; Insecta; Diptera; Sciaridae
Description: partial 16S ribosomal RNA
Source: RNAcentral
GUCUUUUUGUAAAUUAAUUUAAAGUYUAACCUGCCCAUUGAAAAAUUUUAAAGGCUGCGGUAUUUUAACCGUACAAAGGUAGCAUAAUCAAUAGUUUUUUAAUUGAAAACUAGAAUGAAUGGUUGAAUGAAAAAUUAACUUUUUUAUUUAAAAUAUUGAAUUUUACUUUUUAAUAAAAAGGUUAAAAUAAAUUUUAAAGACGAGAAGACCCUAUAGAGUUUUAUAAUUUAAAAAAUAUUUUUAAAAAAAAAUAUAAAAAAUUUUAUUAUAUGAAUUAUUUUAUUGGGGUGAUAAUAUAAUUAAAUUAACUUAUAUUUAUUAUUUAUAUUAAUAUAUAAUUAAUUGAUCCAAUAAUAUUGAUUAAAAAUUUAAAUUACCUUAGGGAUAACAGCGUAAUUUUUUUUUAAGUUCAUAUUAAUAAAAAAUUUUGCGACCUCGAUGUUGGAUUAAGAUUUAAUUUUAGGAGCAGUAAUUUAAAAUUUAAGUCUGUUCGACUUUUAAUUCUU